UAGCUCAGUUGGUAAAGAAUCUGCCUGCAGUGCAGGAGACCCGGGUUCGAUUCCUGG
RNAcentral lists this transfer RNA (57 nucleotides) under Muntiacus reevesi (Reeves' muntjac). It matches the Rfam family "tRNA", at positions 8 to 63 of the family's 71-position model. From Rfam's summary of the family: Transfer RNA (tRNA) molecules are approximately 80 nucleotides in length. Their secondary structure includes four short double-helical elements and three loops (D, anti-codon, and T loops). Further hydrogen bonds mediate the characteristic L-shaped molecular structure. tRNAs have two regions of fundamental functional importance: the anti-codon, which is responsible for specific mRNA codon recognition, and the 3' end, to which the tRNAs corresponding amino acid is attached (by aminoacyl-tRNA synthetases). tRNAs cope with the degeneracy of the genetic code in two manners: having more than one tRNA (with a specific anti-codon) for a particular amino acid; and 'wobble' base-pairing, i.e. permitting non-standard base-pairing at the 3rd anti-codon position. The record is from Rfam by way of RNAcentral. Lineage: Eukaryota; Metazoa; Chordata; Mammalia; Artiodactyla; Cervidae. RNAcentral also lists the same sequence under 3 other names.